UCAUAUCAAUUCUGCUACUAC
RNAcentral lists this non-coding RNA (21 nucleotides) under Caenorhabditis elegans. The record is from RNAcentral. Lineage: Eukaryota; Metazoa; Nematoda; Chromadorea; Rhabditida; Rhabditidae.